UACCAAGCUACAAAGAGCCAACGGUGGAUGCCUUGGCGCCUAGAGCCGAUGAAGGACGUGGAUGGCUGCGAUAAGCCACGGGGAGCUGCCUAUCAAGCUUCGAUCCGUGGAUGUCCGAAUGGGGAAACCCACCGGAGCGUCUGACGACUCCGGUACUCCCGCCUGAACACAUAGGGCGGGCAGAGGGAACCAGGGGAAUUGAAACAUCUCAGUACCCUGAGGAAAAGAAAGCAACAGCGACUCCCUGAGUAGCGGCGAGCGAAACGGGAAGAGCCUAAACCGUGCCGGUGCAAGAGCCUGGUGGCGUUGCCGGUGCGGGGUUGUGGGAUCUGAUGGGAGACGCACCAGAGUCUCCACGGAGUUACAAAGCUGAUAGUUAGCAGAAGCGUUUUGGAACGUCGCACCGCAGAGGGUAAGAGUCCCGUAUGCGAAAACUAGCAGUCUCCGUUCAGACACCCGAGUAGCGCCGGAACCGUGAAAGUCGGCGUGAAUCUGCGAAGACCACUUCGUAAGGCUAAGUACUUCUAGGCGACCGAUAGUGAACUAGUACCGUGAGGGAAAGGUGAAAAGCACCCCGGGAGGGGAGUGAAAUAGUACCUGAAACCGUUGGUUUACAAGCAGUCAGAGCGUCGUCAUGGUCUUCGGAUCAUGGCCGCGAUGGCGUGCCUUCUGAAGAAUGAGCCAGCGAGUUACCGUACGUGGCAAGGUUAA
Molecule: ribosomal RNA, 711 nt
Filed under: Actinomycetota bacterium
Lineage: Bacteria; Bacillati; Actinomycetota
Description: partial 23S ribosomal RNA
Rfam family: Bacterial large subunit ribosomal RNA
Source: RNAcentral